UAAAAGAUCCUUUUUUCUUUUUGUUGUUUUGUUUUUGUUUUUGAUUCAUCUAACUACAGAGGUAGAGUAGGCCUAGCACUCCGGAAAUAAGAAUCAGCUUUUCCUGAAGCAAAUGGUUUGGAUAAGGAUGAGGGGACACCUAAAUUAAGAAAUAGGUACUAGGUUUGUAAAAUGUAAAAUAAAGCCAAAAGUACCUAUCUCCCAGGAUUUGGGGUAGACUAAAGGGUUCAUGUAUAAACUGCCUAAAUCAGUAUGGAUACCUUUUUAAAAAAUAUUUUAUUUUAUUUAUCCAUGAGAGACACACAGAGAGAGACAGAGACACAGGCAGAGGGAGAAGCAGGCUCCUUGCAGGGAGCCGGAUGAGGGACUCUAUCCCAGGACCCUCACACCCUGACACCCUGGGAUCACACCCUGAGCCAAAUGCAGACUCCACUACUGAGCCACCCAAGCACCCCUCACUAUGGUUACUUAAUAACUGUAGCUGCUAUGUUUAUGGUUUCCAACAAAUUUAAACUUUUUAAGAGUAGACACUGAGUAGUGUAUAUCUUUAUAUCCUUUUUGGUGCUUGGCUUCAUGAUUCACAUGGUUGAAAGUCAACAAAUGCUUGUGAACUAACAACAGCAAUAAUAAAACAUUUGAACAUAAUUCAAAAUGACUGAACCCAGUGAAGUAAUAGUGAUACUUUCAACCACCUUUCUUUGCUUUGUGCCAAGUUUUGAGGACAGAAUAGUGAAAAGGAUUUUAGACCUUGUUCUCAUGGAGAUUUUAAUCUUUGUUGAUUUAACACUUCUGUGAUUUCCCUGAGUCUCCAUUCCAGAGCCAUCCAAAAACUGUGGUUUUUGACAUUUGAGAAAAAGGCAAAGGAUUGCUAAUUCCAUGUGGGAAGCAGUGAAUAAGAUGUUUACUCUUAUUUCUUUAUUUAUAUACUGCCCAUUCCCUAAAGGACAUAGGUAGGUAGGACUCAAUCAGUAGAAGACCCUUGCUAACCUUUAAAAAUCUUUAACAGCAGUAAGAGGAAGUUGUAGAAGUAAAAAAUGUGCUAACAGAGAUUUUAAUUACUGUGGGUUACAGUGUAUUGUGUAUUAUCUCUGUGAGGCCUGAGGUGUUGAUUUCUGCCCAAACUGGAGAGGAACAGUUGCUUUGGAGGAUUAGCUGAUGUAAUCUAAUGUAGUCAUAUGAUUUUCUGCUAUUAAUAAUCAAGUGUCUGGGAAAGAAUCCUAAAGUAAUUAUUAAAAGUUAGUAAGAUAUGAAAAAUACUGUUAGAGCUGAAUUAAUUGUUUUGAUCUGACCUCAGUUGAUUACAAGGGAAGCUUGUGGGAAAAAAAAGGCCAUAGAAUUUUUUUUAGGUGGUUGGGAAUGCAGUUAUAGCUGAAGAUAUUAGAAAUGCAUUUAAAAUAGUAAGAUGAAAAAAUGGCUAAUUGACUAACAUUUUGACUAUUUUGCUAUAUUUAACCUAUUACAGAUUAAUGAAAAAAAGAAUCAAACAUCCUUUAAUAGCAUUGUCCAAUAUGUCACGGGUUAUUUAAAAAGAAAGUCAUUUUGAGGAAGAAAAGAUAGUUUUCCUUCUUAACAGUGAAAUCGAUAUUGUUCAGGAAUUUUCCAACAUGUCAGAGUUGUUUUCUGCAAUGGUGAAUGAACAUACCUUAUUGUUUCUUCUUUGAUCAGUUGUUUAAAGAUGAAGAAUGGUUAGUUAAUUAUUAUCUCCUUUUUUUUGUACCUGGGGUUUUCUGAAAGUUCAAAUGGGACUUGUACAUAUUAGUCAUUUGUAUAAUUUACCCGGAAGCAAAAUGGACUAUUGAAAUUAGUAAGUCCUAUUGAUGGUUUUAUAAUUGAACUCUUCUCAAAAUGAAUUUGCUCUAAUCAUAAGAAGGACUUAAUAUAAAUUUAAUAAGUUGAAUCCUUACAUUAAAUUGGUAUGUUGAAAGACUGUUUGCUAUCUUGGCAGCAACUACUAUGACUCUUCCCUUCUCUCUAUGAGUUGAUUUACAGUUUGAGUCCAAGGAGAACAUUAGUUGGACACCACUGAAACUGGGAAGUUGAUUCCCCUUGGGAUUCCACUCAGCAUUUUAGCUUACAACACAAUGGAGACAAUACUGAAGUGUCUGGAGGAGAAAUCUAGGAGAAGUAUGACUCACUCUAUUUAUCACAUAGGACCCAUUUUAUUUUAUUUUUUAAACAGAAGUCCCACUAUGAGCAUUGUACUAUACAUACUAUUAACAGUAGUUGCCUAAGAACUUUGUUUAUUUUAAAUUACAACCAGAAGGAGGAAUUAGGGGGGAAAAAGCAAAAGCAUUUUAUUAUACUGCCUUCCAGGGAUAUUUUUUCCAUUAAUCAUUUAUUAAUUUAUCCUCUGACCCUCUGAACUUAUCCUACUCCUGUUCUGCUUUAUUAUCAAAUGGAAUUGAAUUAAUAUAUGUAGGUAGUAUUUUUAAAAAGCUAUUUGAUCAAAAAUUCAAUUUGACAGUAGCAUUAGCCUUGAGCUCAAGCAUCAUGGAUUUAACUACUAGUUAAAACUUAACCGGGGCGGGGGGGAUAUUUCUUGAAGCAAACUGGCAUUUAUCAGGGAAAGCAACUGUACUUAUUUAGGAGUUUUCUGAGAACUCUUGUGACUGAAAAUGAUGUGUUUUAUUUCUGGGUAUGGCUUUGCUGAACUCUUGGGUGGACUUUGCUACAUGCUUCUCCUUAGUUAAACUAAGACUGCCAUUUCUCUCUUAAAAUAGCACUAUCUUCCUUUUAGUCAAAGAGGACUAAGUGAGCUGUAAUGAUUUCACUUGUUUUGAUGGUUGUAACAUCAGCAGGUGUCACUGGCAUAGUGGCAGUGGGGUCAUUUUUAAGCUUAUGAUUCUGGAGAAGAGGCAAGAAGUAUGAGGACGAUCAUAAUUCUAAAAGGAAUAUUUGCAAUUCUACUUUGUAUCUAAUUUUUAACUGGCCUAGAACCAACCAGGAGUAUAAGUCUCAUGGAUCAAUUUGGCCAAACUUUAAAACUAUGUGCCUUUUUUUCUCUACCACCACGCCUCCUUGCAACUAAAUGAUUCCACUUUUUCUGAAUUGUUUCCCCAGGCAUUAGUUAUUGUAUUGACUCAGGAUUUGGUUAGCCUGUAAAUAGUCAGGGACGAUUUUAUUAGCUGGAACUAUGCUAGCCAACAAAUUUUUGCGGGUUGAGUGGACUUCUAAAGCUUAAGCUCUUUUAUUUGUCAUUUAGUUAUAGUCCGUUAUAAAUUUGGGAUCACAGAUUUCAGUCCAAGGACGACAUUUUCAUGAUAUCUGGUGUCUUGGAUCUUUUCUGAUAAGUUACCUUGCUAGGCUUUUCACCAAAAAUAUGGGAUGCAGAGGGAUUUGUCUUGAAUCCUCAGAAAGGCAGUAUGAUCUUCUCAAAGUGUAAGUCAUAUCUUGAUGUCAUUAGCAUGGACGGCCCACCUAAUUAAAUAGGAAAAAUAGUCCCAUGGGUGUAUAUUGAGAUAGCAGAAAGGUAAUCAGCUGGUACCAGUUGCUUCCUAAUUGUAAUUGGUCUAAUUGCAAAGAACAUUUUUGGUAGUUUUAAACAAAUGAUGUGAUGGUCCCAAUUGAUUUAUGACAAAGUAGUCGACUUAUAAUUUGCAUUAUUAGUGACCUGCCCCUUUCCAUUUUUUACAUUCUAUGGGUGAUUGUGAGAUCUUUGGUAUAUAUGUAACAGCAGCAAUUGUGGGAGGCCUAGAGUUCAAUGGAAACAUAUGCAUUAGAUGGGUUUGUGUUAAUACUUUUUAGGAAGAUCUGGACCAGAUAAGAAAUUCCUCAGUUGGUGGUGUUGGUAGCUAUGGCAAUUGUCUGUUGCAAUUGUCUUUUUAUUUCUGUAAAUUUCCUACUUCUGAAUUAGCUAUCCAAUGGCAAUGGAUACCUAGAUUAUAAAAUCUUUAGUAUAUUUGCAUUGGAAAGUACAAAUCCAUGGAUUAUAUGUUCUGGAAUUUAAGGACAGCAUUAGGGGUUUGAAACACUUGAAAUGAUCCUGUUUUCAAUACAGUUCUAAAACUGACUUUCACUGGUGUUUUCCCCUAUAUAACUAGUCCACUGGUUGUGUAUUAUAUAAGGGGUGUUCAGUGGUACCUCUUUAGGAAAUACAAUUUGCAUCUGUUGGAUAUGAUUGUAUAUGAUACUAGGUUUUGAAAGCACCUGACAAGAUCAAGAUAUGGUAAGGAUAAUGUUGGGCAGUUGGAAAAUGAGAAUUUAUGGAGAUUUUGUGUUGCACAUUAUAUCAUAAUUAAGGCUAGGAUAGAACUUUAAGAUAAGGAGCAUUAAGUUCUUCUGUAAAUAUUAACUGUCCAAUUUUAAAUACCAUUAGUUCAUAACCUUUAAACACAGUGCUUUCAUUCUAUGCCAUCAGUUCAAGACAACAAAACUUCAACCUCCGCUGUCAAAUCCAAAACAACUUACCCAAAAUCCAAAAAACAAAACCUUGAACCUUGAACAUUCCUUAACUUUUUCUUGUUUGUAUAGUAUGGGUGUGGAAAUUCUGGAACCAUUUUGCAUGUACAGUAGGAAUGGGAAACUGAGUUAAUGUAAUCUUAUUUUGGGGAACCAGGCUUGCCUUUCUGUGGCAGAAGAGAGAUACAAAUAUGGAAUUUGGGAAGGUAGAAAAGAAUAUUGUGGUAUUAGGUUGGAAUUAUAUAUAUAAGAAUUCAUAGUGUAAAAAUACACA
This 4672-nucleotide long non-coding RNA is filed under the name Canis lupus familiaris (dog). Its description in RNAcentral is "lncRNA (ENSCAFG00000050411.1)". The record is from RNAcentral. Lineage: Eukaryota; Metazoa; Chordata; Mammalia; Carnivora; Canidae.